RNAcentral lists this long non-coding RNA (1199 nucleotides) under Papio anubis (olive baboon). Its description in RNAcentral is "lncRNA (ENSPANG00000047100.1)". The record is from RNAcentral. Lineage: Eukaryota; Metazoa; Chordata; Mammalia; Primates; Cercopithecidae.
CUUUAGGAAGCAUGAAGUGGGGUCAGAGUGAAGGGCAAGAGGAGAGCUGGGGUUGGGCAGACUGAGGCUGUCUGGAGAGAUGAUAUGGCCUUAGUGUGGAGACGAAGAGAAAGCUUGCUAGGCAGUGUCCUUGGAAAUGGGUGAGGAUGAUCUUGACACGAGUCCCCGUGCUGGGUAUUUUUCCUCAGCAGCAUUUAGCUGUGCAGUGUGUGGGGUUCAUCUAGUUUUGGAAGACUGUUGGAAGAGUUAUUGGUUGAUUCAGAUGAUUAAUAACUGAGUUGGGCAUGCUUUCCAAAAUACUUACGAUUUCUAUCAAAAUAUUCAAAGUGAAUAUGAUGUCACAAGGGGAACCCCUGAAAUCCAUGGCACUUCCACAGCACUGACACGGCCUUCCCAGCUUCUGUAUUUCUUUUGUUGGCAGCAAAGGCAGAGAUGGAGACAAAGAACUGGAAUUUAGACAUUGGAGAUUUCGUUUCUGGCUGCUACAUUCCAGUGCAGUGUUACAUAGUUCAGAAGGCUGAUGACAGGGACAGACCCCACUCUUUCCUUAGCAAAGUGUGCCCUGGUGACGGCAGCCCCAUCCUUCUGGCAUCGUCUGGAAGAGCUCCCUUUUACCAACGCUGGGGAGUCUGAAUUUGAAGCAGGUGUAUGAAUGCAUUUGAAAGAAUCUCUUCCAGAUGCCAGAAGAUUCAGUUCUGGAGAAGGACGUGAAGGAAAAUUAUGAGAACAAGUGUCCUAUUCACAUGCUAGGAAAAUAAAUGUUUUACUAAUCCUUAAAUAACAUUUUACUCUGAGGUGUAUUGGCAAAUUUUAGUUUUAUUUCGGUAUGAGAGUCUCAUUUUUGGGAGUGUGAUUUAUACACAUUUAAGCAGUAGAGGUGAGUGCUAAAAUUAGCUUCUGUCAUCCCAUGCUAAUGUCUGUAUAGGAAGAGAAUAAUAUAAUUUUAAAGUCCUGACAUUUUCGUUAUGUUUAGUGGAUAAUUUACUAUUUAUUAUCAUUGGAUACAAUGUAGUUUAAUCAUUAAAAAUGCACAUACUUUCCUAUGUUUCUCAGCCUUCUCGUGGUAGAGAAAGUAUGCCAUCAGAAAGAUGGCCUAUGUGUUCUGUUUCUCUACUCAAGGCUUAAUGAAUAAAAUUCCAUCAUUAAACAAAUAUUUGUUUAGCACCUUUUCGUGUGCCAGGCACUGUGCUAUGUGCUGG